This 245-nucleotide ribosomal RNA is filed under the name uncultured Bacteriovorax sp. Its description in RNAcentral is "partial 16S ribosomal RNA". It matches the Rfam family "Bacterial small subunit ribosomal RNA", at positions 524 to 768 of the family's 1533-position model. Lineage: Bacteria; Pseudomonadati; Bdellovibrionota; Bacteriovoracia; Bacteriovoracales; Bacteriovoracaceae. The record is from RNAcentral.
UACGAAGGGUGCAAGCGUUGUUCGGAUUUAUUGGGCGUAAAGCGCGCGUAGGCGGACCUGCAAGUCAGAUGUGAAAUCUCGGGGCUCAACCUCGAAACUGCGUCUGAAACUACAGGUCUAGAAUCUUGGAGGGGGAAGGGGAAUUUCUCAUGUAGGGGUAAAAUCCGUAGAUAUGAGAAGGAACACCAGAGGCGAAGGCGCCUUCCUGGACAAGUAUUGACGCUGAGGCGCGAAAGCGUGGGGAU